UACGUAGGGUGCAGGCGUUAAUCGGAAUUACUGGGCGUAAAGCGUGCGCAGGCGGUCUCUUAAGUCAGAUGUGAAAGCCCCGGGCUUAACCUGGGAACUGCGUUUGAAACUGGGAGACUUGAGUGUGGCAGAGGGGGGUGGAAUUCCACGUGUAGCAGUGAAAUGCGUAGAUAUGUGGAGGAACACCGAUGGCGAAGGCAGCCCCCUGGGUUAACACUGACGCUCAUGCACGAAAGCGUGGGGAGCAAACAGG
Molecule: ribosomal RNA, 253 nt
Filed under: uncultured bacterium
Lineage: Bacteria
Description: partial 16S ribosomal RNA
Rfam family: Bacterial small subunit ribosomal RNA
Source: RNAcentral